Non-coding RNA from Caulobacterales bacterium, 54 nucleotides. The record is from Rfam. Lineage: Bacteria; Pseudomonadati; Pseudomonadota; Alphaproteobacteria; Caulobacterales.
UCUGCGGACCGGGCCCCUCUGGCGACCACGUGGUCGUGAUGUCGGUCCGCAUCG